Pelobates cultripes (western spadefoot toad) is the source of this 350-nucleotide non-coding RNA. The record is from the annotation of a GenBank genome assembly. NCBI's taxonomy places the organism in Eukaryota, Metazoa, Chordata, Amphibia, Anura, Pelobatidae.
UAGGAAUUGGUGGAAUAGGGAGUCAUUCUGCGACGGGCGCGAACGUGCCGUGGCAGUAGAGGUCCUGUCAGUGGCUGGGGUGUGGACUGCGUUGCAGUCACCCCCUACCACGAGACGCACAGUUGAGUAAGUGUUGAGGUGUGUGGUCAGUUGUUGCCAGAAUUAGGUAUCUGGUAUCGUAGGUGCGUAGAUCGAGGAGAAGGCGUAGGUUGUAGUGCCCACUUUCCCCUGUAUUGUUACGUAGCGUCCCUGGGGGUCCCUGUUGCAUACCACGUCUGAGAGGAGGCAAUUGGCUCUCAGAAUAAUUGCCACUCCUUUCGUUUUGGAGUCUGGGGAGAGAGCCAUAUAGC